UUGAACGCUGGCGGCAGGCCUAACACAUGCAAGUCGAGCGGAUGAAGGGAGCUUGCUCCUGGAUUCAGCGGCGGACGGGUGAGUAAUGCCUAGGAAUCUGCCUGGUAGUGGGGGAUAACGUCCGGAAACGGGCGCUAAUACCGCAUACGUCCUGAGGGAGAAAGUGGGGGAUCUUCGGACCUCACGCUAUCAGAUGAGCCUAGGUCGGAUUAGCUAGUUGGUGGGGUAAAGGCCUACCAAGGCGACGAUCCGUAACUGGUCUGAGAGGAUGAUCAGUCACACUGGAACUGAGACACGGUCCAGACUCCUACGGGAGGCAGCAGUGGGGAAUAUUGGACAAUGGGCGAAAGCCUGAUCCAGCCAUGCCGCGUGUGUGAAGAAGGUCUUCGGAUUGUAAAGCACUUUAAGUUGGGAGGAAGGGCAGUAAGUUAAUACCUUGCUGUUUUGACGUUACCAACAGAAUAAGCACCGGCUAACUUCGUGC
Molecule: ribosomal RNA, 484 nt
Filed under: uncultured bacterium
Lineage: Bacteria
Description: partial 16S ribosomal RNA
Rfam family: Bacterial small subunit ribosomal RNA
Source: RNAcentral